AUACGGAGGGUGCAAGCGUUACUCGGAAUCAUUGGGCGUAAAGCGCACGUAGGCGGUCUGUUAAGUCCGAUGUGAAAUCCCGGGGCUCAACCUCGGAUGGCCAUUGGAAACUGAGAGACUUGAGAGUGGAAGGGGUCAGUGGAAUUCCUGGUGUAGGAGUGAAAUCCGUAGAGAUCAGGAGGAACACCGGUGGCGAAGGCGACUGACUGGGCCAUUUCUGACGCUAAUGUGACAAAAGCGGUGGGGAGAC
Molecule: ribosomal RNA, 250 nt
Filed under: uncultured bacterium
Lineage: Bacteria
Description: partial 16S ribosomal RNA
Rfam family: Bacterial small subunit ribosomal RNA
Source: RNAcentral